UCCUCUCCCUUCCUUCCUCCCUCCCCCGUCAAGCCUUUGGCAUCAUUAUCCUCAUCACUAAAUCCUACAGAGUACAGGGCGGAAAACGGUGCACAC
This 96-nucleotide long non-coding RNA is filed under the name Macaca nemestrina (pig-tailed macaque). RNAcentral describes it as "ZEB2 antisense RNA 1 conserved region 3 (ENSMNEG00000006324.1)". It matches the Rfam family "ZEB2 antisense RNA 1 conserved region 3". The record is from RNAcentral. Lineage: Eukaryota; Metazoa; Chordata; Mammalia; Primates; Cercopithecidae.